CGUAAACGAUGAGUGCUAAGUGUUGGAGGGUUCCGCCUUUCAGUGCUGCAGCUAACGCAUUAAGCACUCCGCUGGGGAGUACGACCGCAAGGUUGAAACUCAAAGGAAUUGACGGGGGCCCGCACAAGCGGUGGAGCAUGUGGUUUAAUUCGAAGCAACGCGAAGAACCUUACCAGGUCUUGACAUCCUUUGACCACUCUAGAGAUAGAGCUUUCCCUUCGGGGACAAAGUGACAGGUGGUGCAUGGUUGUCGUCAGCUCGUGUCGUGAGAUGUUGGGUUAAGUCCCGCAACGAGCGCAACCCUUAUUGUUAGUUGCCAUCAUUCAGUUGGGCACUCUGGCGAGACUGCCGGUGACAAACCGGAGGAAGGUGGGGAUGACGUCAAAUCAUCAUGCCCCUUAUGACCUGGGCUACAUACGUGCUACAAUGGGAAGUACAACGAGUCGCUAGGCCGCGAGGUCAUGCAAAUCUCUUAAAGCUUCUCUCAGUUCGGAUUGCAGGCUGCAACUCGCCUGCAUGAAGCCGGAAUCGCUAGUAAUCGCGGAUCAGCACGCCGCGGUGAAUACGUUCCCGGGCCUUGUACACACCGCCCGUCACACCACGAAAGUUUGUAACACCCGAAGUCGGUGAGGUAACCUUUUGGAGCCAGCCGCCUAAGGUGGGAUAGAUGAUUGGGGUGAAGUCGUAACAAGGUAACCA
RNAcentral lists this ribosomal RNA (699 nucleotides) under uncultured Enterococcus sp. RNAcentral describes it as "bacterial SSU rRNA". It matches the Rfam family "Bacterial small subunit ribosomal RNA", at positions 801 to 1502 of the family's 1533-position model. Lineage: Bacteria; Bacillati; Bacillota; Bacilli; Lactobacillales; Enterococcaceae. The record is from RNAcentral.